RNAcentral lists this ribosomal RNA (543 nucleotides) under uncultured bacterium. RNAcentral describes it as "bacterial SSU rRNA". It matches the Rfam family "Bacterial small subunit ribosomal RNA", at positions 345 to 879 of the family's 1533-position model. The record is from RNAcentral.
GAGGCAGCAGUAGGGAAUCUUCCGCAAUGGGCGAAAGCCUGACGGAGCAACGCCGCGUGAGUGAUGAAGGUCUUCGGAUCGUAAAACUCUGUUAUUAGGGAAGAACAAAUGUGUAAGUAACUAUGCACGUCUUGACGGUACCUAAUCAGAAAGCCACGGCUAACUACGUGCCAGCAGCCGCGGUAAUACGUAGGUGGCAAGCGUUAUCCGGAAUUAUUGGGCGUAAAGCGCGCGUAGGCGGUUUUUUAAGUCUGAUGUGAAAGCCCACGGCUCAACCGUGGAGGGUCAUUGGAAACUGGAAAACUUGAGCGCAGAAGAGGAAAGUGGAAUUCCAUGUGUAGCGGUGAAAUGCGCAGAGAUAUGGAGGAACACCAGUGGCGAAGGCGACUUUCUGGUCUGUAACUGACGCUGAUGUGCGAAAGCGUGGGGAUCAAACAGGAUUAGAUACCCUGGUAGUCCACGCCGUAAACGAUGAGUGCUAAGUGUUAGGGGGUUUCCGCCCCUUAGUGCUGCAGCUAACGCAUUAAGCACUCCGCCUGGGGA